Molecule: ribosomal RNA, 244 nt
Filed under: Trypanosoma copemani
Lineage: Eukaryota; Euglenozoa; Kinetoplastea; Trypanosomatida; Trypanosomatidae
Description: partial small subunit ribosomal RNA
Rfam family: Eukaryotic small subunit ribosomal RNA
Source: RNAcentral
CUGAGAAAUAGCUACCACUUCUACGGAGGGCAGCAGGCGCGCAAAUUGCCCAAUGUCAAAAAAAAACGAUGAGGCAGCGAAAAGAAAUAGAGCCGGCAGUGCCAAUGGCAUUGCCGUUUUCAAUGGGGGAUAUCUAAACCCAUCCAAAAUCGAGUAUCAAUUGGAGGACAAGUCUGGUGCCAGCACCCGCGGUAAUUCCAGCUCCAAAAGCGUAUAUUAAUGCUGUUGCUGUUAAAGGGUUCGA